UGCGUAGGCGGUUUGGUAAGUCUGAUGUGAAAUCUAUGGGCUCAACUCAUAGUCUGCAUCGGAAACUGCCGGGCUUGAGUAUGGGAGAGGUGAGUGGAAUUUCCGGUGUAGCGGUGAAAUGCGUAGAUAUCGGAAGGAACACCUGUGGCGAAAGCGGCUCACUGGACCAUAACUGACGCUGAUGCACGAAAGCUAGGGGAGCAAACAGGAUUAGAUACCCUGGUAGUCCUAGCCCUAAACGAUGACUGCUUGGUGUGACGGGUACCCAAUCCCGCCGUGCCGUAGCUAACGCGUUAAGCAGUCCGCCUGGGGAGUACGGUCGCAAGGCUGAA
This 332-nucleotide ribosomal RNA is filed under the name uncultured bacterium. Its description in RNAcentral is "bacterial SSU rRNA". It matches the Rfam family "Bacterial small subunit ribosomal RNA", at positions 568 to 898 of the family's 1533-position model. The record is from RNAcentral.